UGGGGAAUAUUGCACAAUGGGCGCAAGCCUGAUGCAGCCAUGCCGCGUGUAUGAAGAAGGCCUUCGGGUUGUAAAGUACUUUCAGCGGGGAGGAAGGCGACAGGGUUAAUAACCCUGCCGAUUGACGUUACCCGCAGAAGAAGCACCGGCUAACUCCGUGCCAGCAGCCGCGGUAAUACGGAGGGUGCAAGCGUUAAUCGGAAUUACUGGGCGUAAAGCGCACGCAGGCGGUCUGUCAAGUCGGAUGUGAAAUCCCCGGGCUCAACCUGGGAACUGCAUUCGAAACUGGCAGGCUAGAGUCUUGUAGAGGGGGGUAGAAUUCCAGGUGUAGCGGUGAAAUGCGUAGAGAUCUGGAGGAAUACCGGUGGCGAAGGCGGCCCCCUGGACAAAGACUGACGCUCAGGUGCGAAAGCGUGGGGAGCGAACAGGAUUAGAUACCCUGGUAGUCCACGCCGUAAACGAUGUCGACUUGGAGGUUGUGCCCUUGAGGCGUGGCUUCCGGAGCUAACGCGUUAAGUCGACCGCCUGGGGAGUACGGCCGCAAGGUU
RNAcentral lists this ribosomal RNA (548 nucleotides) under uncultured bacterium. RNAcentral's name for it is "bacterial SSU rRNA". It matches the Rfam family "Bacterial small subunit ribosomal RNA", at positions 355 to 895 of the family's 1533-position model. The record is from RNAcentral.